UCCUCAGUGCUGAGUCAGCAGCCGCCCUGACUCAGAAACUCGAAUUGUCCAUCCAGUGACCCCUCAGGCCUCACGGUCUCUGUUAGAACAUGAAAGGUGUCCAGCAGAUCCUCAGGGCCAUUCAGUUUUCAUCCCAUAUAUGUGGGGCUGUGCGUGCGAACUUACACACAUGCACCCACACUCACACAUACGUGCCCUGUCUCACCCCUACACACUCGCCGCUCAGACACAGCCAGUCAGUGUCAUUAAAAUGCCAGGCCAUGCCUCUGCCUCCUCGCAGAGCCCACGUGACCCUGCUGAUCAGAGGAGGCCACGAGUCCGGAGGGUGAGCCCUGGCAUCGGUCCACUGCUCUCCAUGGCAACCUGGCUGAUACCUGUUUUGAAUUCUGAAGUGUCUCACUGAUAGAACAUGAGCUGUAAGAAGAAAGAACACCCUUGCAAACCUGAUCAAAUCUCCCAUGCGGUCCUGAUGUCGCUGGUGGACGGAGGGACUAACAUCCAGGUUUGCAGAGGACCUUGUACUGGAGGUUGGGACUGAGGACUCCAGCAGGACAAGAGCACAUUUUUUCCCAUCCCAGUGAAGGAGAAAUUGAGAAAGCAAGAAGCCUGGCUGGUGGCAGUCCCUGGAGUCAAUGAGGUCAGUAGGCUCUGGUCACAGCAAGAAAGGGCUGAGCCCCGAGCAAGUGCCAGGUAACCAGAACACAGAAAUAUGCCUCCAUCCCAGCUGCGGGCAUUGCACAGGGCCGUGGGGCUCAGUGGCUUCUCUCUGAGCCCCUGUGAUUACUGUGCUUAGCAUGGGUCCCCUCCCCCCCUCCCCUGAGGUCCUGUCUGCACACCUCGCUGGCACUGAGGAUUUCAGACUGUCCUCGCCCUGGGUGAUGACCAUAGGGUGAACGACGACAACUCCCAUCCCUGUGAUGCUACGUUAUGUGAAUAUGUGGAUGGAUGUGUGCAUUUAGGAAACGUGUGCCUUAUAACCGCUCUAUGAUUAUUUUCUCCACUGUACAGAUGAGGAAACCGAGGCUUAGGGUAAGAAACUUGCUCAAGUGGUGGGGUUGGGAUUGGAACCCACGUCUGGCCUCAGAUCCCUGACUUGUAACCUCUACCAUAGCCCCAAAGGUCCUUCCCGUCUUUAGGGUCUGUGGUUCACUGGCCCCUCCCUACAUCCCCAGUGAAGACAAGCCUGGCCUUUGUGUGCCCGGUCUGACGGCAAGUCCUGGUUUUCUGGAAGAUCAUUUGGUGUCAGGACAGAAGACAGACAUUCAGGAGUCUGAGCACUAAUUUUCCUGGUUAUUCUGAAAAGGUGCAGUUUUCUCAUUGAAGACGCCCCAGAGGUCUGAUCUGAUUGUGGGCUGGUUUAAAAGUGCUUGCUCUGACCUCCAAGGACAUCUGCUGAUUGGCUGUCCAGCCACUCAGACCCCGCCGUGCGCCAGCGCUGGGCUAAGUGCUGCAUGAGGAUUUAUUCAUUUGAUGCUCACAACAGUUCUGUUUUAUUUCUAAAUUGGGAAACAGGCACAGAGCAGUAAUUAAGUUCAUUAGUAAGUGAGAGGGCUGAGAUUUGAACCCAGACUGCCUGGUGCCGGGGUCCAGGCUUCUAACUACUAUUCUGUGUGGCCCCCAAAAGAGCCCCAGGCUGUAAGUGCAGGGACUUUUGUGCGGGGGCAGGUGGAGCCUGUUUCUCUAAGGGUCCUGCAGGGCCCGCUGGGAAGGGCGGGUUGGCCGUGACUGUCUCUGCCGGGAGCCCCAUCCCUGACCCCUCCCACGAUCUGCUUCUUCUCCUCCUUCAGGACUCAGGUCCAAUGUCCCCUCCUCAUUCCCUGAGUCCCUAUUCAGGUACACCCCCGCCUGCCACUCCAUCACUUCAGCCUGGUUAAAGUUCUUCCCAGUACACGUCUCACUCUCUGGAAUUGUCUGCAGGGCUGCCUUGAUUUCUUGCUCAUUGUGUGUCUCCCGUCACGAGGGCAAGGUCUGGGCUGCACCCCCAGGGCCUGGAACUGUGCCCGGCACAGAGCACGGGCUCCCCAGCUCCUGUGGGAUGGAUGACAUGCGCGCGGAGAAAUCCCCAAGGUCACCCCCAACCUGCUCACUCGACAGAGGACGUGUGCCCUACCCCCCCCAGCUGCACUGCCACGUGGACACACAUCCUGGGCACACAUGACAUGGGCCGUCAGGGAGCCCAUGGACCCUCCAGCAAGAAUGAAGACGUCUGUGCCCAAGACUCAGCUCAGCCUCCAGAUCCUACUGCCUGUGGACGUCCCAAACCAACCAACCGCGGCCCUGCGCCCCUCAGAGGGACACUGAGCGGGGAGGUGGCGCGUGGACAGAACCCCUCCACACACACCUGUGCUGGGGGGAUGGAACAUAAACCGGGGAGGGGCAUGGCUCACCAUCCCCAGCCAGGACGAUGUUCAAUCCACCCCGUUUCGCGUGGCUUUUCUCCUCUGGAAAAAGUCCUGACAUCUCUUUUUUUUGGCUCUUUUAGUCUGAGGAGAGAUGAUGAGCCACGGGCUGUGGUGGAAUAAAAACCUGGGAGAUUUGCUCCCUCGUCACAUCCUGAGCUCAAACCAGGUGGCGUCCUUAGGGGCUGACAGUCGGUGGCG
Molecule: long non-coding RNA, 2600 nt
Organism: Balaenoptera musculus (blue whale)
Lineage: Eukaryota; Metazoa; Chordata; Mammalia; Artiodactyla; Balaenopteridae
Exons: 3
Source: RefSeq, a predicted model, not a curated record